RNAcentral lists this ribosomal RNA (180 nucleotides) under uncultured Glomeromycotina. RNAcentral's name for it is "partial small subunit ribosomal RNA". Lineage: Eukaryota; Fungi; Glomeromycota. The record is from RNAcentral.
GAAUCAGUACGCUGGUCGUGCCUUCGGUAUGUACUGGUGUCACUGGUUUCUCCCUUCUGAAGAACCAUCAUGCCAUUCACUUGGUGUGGUGGGAAAUCAGGACUGUUACUUUGAAAAAAUUAGAGUGUUUAAAGCAGGCGUUGAAAAACAAGUGCCCUGAAUACUACAGCAUGGAAUAAU